GGAAGUAGAAGUCGUAACAAGGUCUCCGUUGGUGAACCAGCGGAGGGAUCAUUAUCGAGUUUAUAACUCCCAAACCCUAUGUGAACUUACCACUUGUUGCUUCGGCGCGCGCUUCGGUGCCGCCGAGGACACUUAAACUCUUUGUUUUUAUGAGCAUUUCUGAGUGGCCGAAAGGCAAAAUACAAAUGAAUCAAAACUUUCAACAACGGAUCUCUUGGUUCUG
This 223-nucleotide unclassified non-coding RNA is filed under the name plant metagenome. Its description in RNAcentral is "partial contains small subunit ribosomal RNA, internal transcribed spacer 1, and 5.8S ribosomal RNA". The stretch from base 1 to 54 matches the Rfam family "Eukaryotic small subunit ribosomal RNA", at positions 1778 to 1831 of the family's 1831-position model. The record is from RNAcentral.